Cervus elaphus (red deer) is the source of this 349-nucleotide long non-coding RNA. RefSeq lists it as uncharacterized. The transcript has 4 exons. The record is from RefSeq and is a predicted model, not a curated record. Lineage: Eukaryota; Metazoa; Chordata; Mammalia; Artiodactyla; Cervidae.
CUUACUCAGGACGGUGAGCCGGGUCCCGCCGCCGAAGACAAAACACAUACCAACACUACUGACAUCAGCUGACUGACAGUAAUAGUCGGCCUCGUCCUCAGCCUGGGCCCCGCUGAUGGUCAGGGUGGCUGUGUCCCCCGAGUUGGAGCCAGAGAACCGGUCAGGGAUCCCUGAGGCCCGCUCACUAUUUCCAUAAAUGACCUUCACAGGGGCCUGGCCCGGCUUCUGCUGGUACCAAGGUGUAUAUUUUUCAUCCAGGAGGUCCCCUGAGCAGGUGAUCUUGGCCAUCUGUCCCAAGGCACUGACACUGAAGUCGGCUGGGUGAGUUCAUAGGAGACCGCGGAGCCUG